AGUGGCGCACGGGUGCGUAACGCGUGGGAAUCUGCCCUUGGGUUCGGAAUAACGUCGGGAAACUGACGCUAAUACCGGAUGAUGACGAAAGUCCAAAGAUUUAUCGCCCAGGGAUGAGCCCGCGUAGGAUUAGCUAGUUGGUGAGGUAAAGGCUCACCAAGGCGACGAUCCUUAGCUGGUCUGAGAGGAUGAUCAGCCACACUGGGACUGAGACAAGGCCCAGACUCCUACGGGAGGCAGCAGUAGGGAAUAUUGGACAAUGGGGGCAACCCUGAUCCAGCAAUGCCGCGUGAGUGAUGAAGGCCUUAGGGUUGUAAAGCUCUUUUACCCGAGAUGAUAAUGACAGUAUCGGGAGAAUAAGCUCCGGCUAACUCCGUGCCAGCAGCCGCGGUAAUACGGAGGGAGCUAGCGUUGUUCGGAAUUACUGGGCGUAAAGCGCACGUAGGCGGCGAUUUAAGUCAGAGGUGAAAGCCCGGGGCUCAACCCCGGAACUGCCUUUGAGACUGGAUUGCUUGAAUCCUGGAGAGGUGAGUGGAAUUCCGAGUGUAGAGGUGAAAUUCGUAGAUAUUCGGAAGAACACCAGUGGCGAAGGCGGCUCACUGGACAGGUA
This 610-nucleotide ribosomal RNA is filed under the name uncultured bacterium. RNAcentral's name for it is "bacterial SSU rRNA". It matches the Rfam family "Bacterial small subunit ribosomal RNA", at positions 94 to 739 of the family's 1533-position model. The record is from RNAcentral.